This 400-nucleotide long non-coding RNA is filed under the name Bos taurus (domestic cattle). RNAcentral describes it as "long non-coding RNA NONBTAT015878". Lineage: Eukaryota; Metazoa; Chordata; Mammalia; Artiodactyla; Bovidae. The record is from RNAcentral.
AUUCUGUAUUUCUAACAAAACUCUUGGGUAAUUCUCAAGUAGAAGGUUUAGAUUUUACUUUGAGAAAAAAUAAACUAGAAGAUAGAAAAGAUCAAGUUAAGUAUAUAAGAGUAUUGUCAUUUGUGAACUCAACUCAAUAGUGAGCUCCUGUAAUACAUGGGAUUUACUGAAAAUGCUGUGCUGCUUCCCGUCCACUGGACCCUGCUGUAAGGGGCAUGUCAUCAGCGCUCUCCUUACUAGUUUUGGGAAAGCACUUGAAAUGCAGAAUGAAGGUCAGUGAAGUCUGGCAUAAAAUAAUAAAAGACCAAGAUAAGAAAACUAAUAUGAUAAUCUAUUGUAUGAACAGUCGUAUCAAUCUGUUAAUAAUAAGAUUUAUCAAUAAACUAUCAGAAUGAUACCU